Molecule: long non-coding RNA, 221 nt
Filed under: Elaeis guineensis (African oil palm)
Lineage: Eukaryota; Viridiplantae; Streptophyta; Magnoliopsida; Arecales; Arecaceae
Description: long non-coding RNA (EGUI_LNC042320)
Source: RNAcentral
ACCGAGCUGACUCGAAAUGAAACUGAGCCGACUCAAAAUGAAACCAAACCGACUCCAAAGAAAAUCAAGUGGACUCAUGAAACGGGACAAGCAUAAUGACUAAUUUUUCUGUACUUCUCCAACGACUAGUUUUUAUUGCUAAUGACUAUUUUAGCCCUUCCAACGGCCAAAACUCCUUCUCCAGCUACUUCUAAGCCUAUUAAAAGCUAAAAAAUCAUUUG